UCCACCCAUAUCAAAUCCUCUCUCCGUCACCGAGUUGCUUCUUCUCUCCGUCGCACCAAUUUCUUCUGCCGCUGGCGUCACAGAUCCCUCUCCAUCGUCCCUUGCGUCGUACGGGCUCCCUCCGCCACCGCAUCCAACCCUAACCCCAGAGCUUCAUCGCGCCUCCAACCCUAAUCCCAGAACUUCGUCGUGCUUCCAACCCCUGCUUCGCCGCUCCCUCCAUCGACGCUCCCUUCGUCUCAAAGCCUCCGUCGUGCUCACUCUAUCGUAAGCCUUCAAACGUUGCUCCUUCCUCCAUGACUGAAACCCGUAAUGCUCUGCUUUUUCUCCUGCAUCGUGGCUUCACCUUCCUCCAAACAAAAUUGAAAAACCCUAACCUGGAGGCCUUCCACUGCAAACCUACCGAUCCCUAAUUCCGUCUCAUCAUCAGAGAUUGAAAAUGAGUAGGCGUGGGAGCAGAAUAGUCUACGUUGGGAACCUCCCUGGUGAUAUUCGUGAAAGAGAAGUAGAAGAUUUGUUUUCAAAGAAAAUUCAGCAGAUUGGCGCCAACUUGUAUGAAAUUUUGGGAAAAAUAUGUACGGUAAUUUUUAAUGAAAUAAGUUGAAUAAUGAAUCUGAUGAUGAUUUGCAGAACUGCAUCACACUAACAAAGGAGAAUGUCAAAGGCAUAAUCAUGUGCAUUUAUGAUUGGAGGUAGGAAACUAAUAACCAAUGCACAUUGUGUGGAACAUGAUACACAGGUUAAAGUUAAGAGAAGAGGGAAAUAAUUGAAUCUUAUUAUACAUAGCAUCAAGAACUGUACCAUUAAAUAUUUUCUGAUUAGCCUGAUAGAAUGUUGCCUUAUAGCAUGGCCUAUAAUCAUGAUGAGGAUGAUGAUGAAGAAGAGGGGGUCACAA
This is a long non-coding RNA of Arachis duranensis, 895 nucleotides long. RefSeq lists it as uncharacterized. The record is from RefSeq and is a predicted model, not a curated record. The transcript is spliced from 6 exons. Lineage: Eukaryota; Viridiplantae; Streptophyta; Magnoliopsida; Fabales; Fabaceae.